Molecule: small nuclear RNA, 78 nt
Gene: U2
Rfam family: U2 spliceosomal RNA
About the family: U2 is a small nuclear RNA (snRNA) component of the spliceosome (involved in pre-mRNA splicing).
Source: Ensembl
AUCGCUUCUCGGCCUUUUGGCUAAGAUCAAGUGUAGUACAAGUGCAUUCCUUAAUCCCCAUCACUUAUUUAACUCCUU